UAUGUAGGCGGUUUUGUAAGUUCGGUGUGAAAUCUCCCGGCUUAACUGGGAGGGUGCGCCGAAAACUGCAAAGCUAGAGUGUGGGAGAGGAAAGCGGAAUUCCUGGUGUAGCGGUGAAAUGCGUAGAUAUCAGGAGGAACACCAGCGGUGUAGACGGCUUUCUGGACCAUUACUGACGCUGAGAUACGAAAGCGUGGGGAGCAAACAGGAUUAGAUACCCUGGUAGUCCACGCCCUAAACGAUGCGGACUUGGUGUGGGCAGUUCAUUCUGUCCGUGCCGGAGCUAACGCGUUAAGUCCGCCGCCUGGGGAGUACGGUCGCAAGGCUGAA
This 330-nucleotide ribosomal RNA is filed under the name uncultured bacterium. RNAcentral's name for it is "bacterial SSU rRNA". It matches the Rfam family "Bacterial small subunit ribosomal RNA", at positions 568 to 898 of the family's 1533-position model. The record is from RNAcentral.